This 308-nucleotide ribosomal RNA is filed under the name uncultured bacterium. RNAcentral's name for it is "partial 16S ribosomal RNA". It matches the Rfam family "Bacterial small subunit ribosomal RNA", at positions 505 to 807 of the family's 1533-position model. The record is from RNAcentral.
GAGACAGCAGCCGCCGCGGGAAUACGGAGGGUGCAAGCGUUAUCCGGAUUUAUUGGGUUUAAAGGGUCCGUAGGCGGAUCUGUAAGUCAGUGGUGAAAUCUCACAGCUUAACUGUGAAACUGCCAUUGAUACUGCAGGUCUUGAGUAAAUUUGAAGUGGCUGGAAUAAGUAGUGUAGCGGUGAAAUGCAUAGAUAUUACUUAGAACACCAAUUGCGAAGGCAGGUCACUAAGAUUUAACUGACGCUGAUGGACGAAAGCGUGGGGAGCGAACAGGAUUAGAUACCCCCGUAGUCCCUGUCUCUUAUAC